This is a long non-coding RNA of Portunus trituberculatus (swimming crab), 819 nucleotides long. RefSeq lists it as uncharacterized. The transcript is spliced from 3 exons. Lineage: Eukaryota; Metazoa; Arthropoda; Malacostraca; Decapoda; Portunidae. The record is from RefSeq and is a predicted model, not a curated record.
CUCAGUUGUACCUCAGUCAGCAUCUAGAGGUGUUGUCCUACGCACUCACACCAAACUGCUCCUUACCAUUCUAGCGAAGUAUAUACAAGGACGAACGCAACGUCUACACGCAGUACACUUGCAGAGUCACGCUAUCGCCGUCGUCACCAGUGAUUAACGGUAUACAUGGCUGCCACCCACACCACCAGCGUAUAGCGAAGAUAAAGAGUUAUCCUCUCGAUCUGGGAAACCUUUCCAUCACUGCAAGCCUGUGCAAUAACAGAAUGGAUCGAAGAAGUGUCGCACUUCUCAUGGUGCUACUGACCUGCAACGCGGCGACCUCCCACGGAGACGGGCAGGAAAAUUGUUUAGAGGAAGUAGGUAGGGACACUGAUUUUUUGCCGUAUAAUUCCCAUGACUUGAUGAACUUGCUGUACAACAUCUGCAGGCCUGUUAAUAAGAAAUGUGAAUGUAAAUCUAUUCAAAACCAGAGAGAACCCAACGUAUCUGCAUAUUGUAAGUGUGUCCCUAUAAUGACUGAGAUCCGUAAAGGUAUCACCUGUGAAAUCAGUCGGAUCAUGAUAUGGAUUCCACGACCCAUACUGUCAGAAAUAUUGAAACAUCAGUGAGCCCAGACGGAAUUCCGGCAUGACUCUGAGGAGUGUUUGUGAUUUCUUUCAAAGAAAAAUCUAUUAUCCCAUUGUAGUGCUAAGUAUGCAAUCCUCAGCAAUCCUUCAGCAAUGCUACACAAAAGAUGAGAAAAUAUACCUUAAGCUAAAAUGCUCAAAUAAAAAAAUGUUUUGUGACUAAUGAACAAAUAAACAGUUUUCUAGACAUGUA